CUUUUCCUACGGGGGGCAGCAGUGAGGAAUAUUGGUCAAUGGGCGAGAGCCUGAACCAGCCAAGUCGCGUGAGGGAGGACGGCCCUACGGGUUGUAAACCUCUUUUGCCGGGGGACAAACGGCGGCACGCGUGCCGUCCUGAGGGUACCCGGAGAAAAAGCAUCGGCUAACUCCGUGCCAGCAGCCGCGGUAAUACGGAGGAUGCGAGCGUUAUCCGGAUUUAUUGGGUUUAAAGGGUGCGUAGGCGGAUCGUUAAGUCAGUGGUCAAAUUGAGGGGCUCAACCCCUUCCCGCCAUUGAAACUGG
Molecule: ribosomal RNA, 305 nt
Filed under: uncultured bacterium
Lineage: Bacteria
Description: bacterial SSU rRNA
Rfam family: Bacterial small subunit ribosomal RNA
Source: RNAcentral